AGACAGAGAGAGAGAGAGAGGGGUCUGCAGGUGAGAGAUGACAUGUGUAUAUAUAUAUAUAUAUAUAUAUAUAUAUAUAUAUAGAGAGAGAGAGAGAGAGAGAGAGAGAGAGAGAGAGAGAGAGAGGGGGGUCUGCAGGUGAGAGAUGACAUGUGUAUAUAUAUAUAUAUAUAUAUAGAGAGAGAGAGAGAGAGAGAGAGAAAAGAGAAGAUGAUUGAUGGAAUGUGUGUUUGGAAUAGGCAGUAUUUUAUGUAGCCAAAGAGGUAUACGAUGCACGUGUCACGUAGGUAUCCAUGUGAGGCGGAAAGUAGGUCGCCUUCGACAUUGGCAUGCAGUGGCGGCCACCACGAAUCAACUGGAGAUCAAAGCUAACCUUGCAGCAACAUGCGGAUGGCAAUGGCGGACGAACUGUCGUCCGCCACACGCACUCAUUGCAGGGGUUGAAGUGGCUCUGCCUCCUCUCGUCCUCAGCCGUCCUCGACGAGAAGUGUGCAUGGCAGAUAGAUGCGCACCAGACGUGGAUCAGUUGUUGUUGUGCACCUGGUCAAACCAUGCACUCAUGCACGAGCAAUGUGGCAGCUUGUGAGAGCUUCCUUUUGUUGGUAGUGCUGUUCUAUUUCUGGGCAAGCUCAAUACCGUCUCUUUUGAUGCGAAACAAGAGACAGUUUGUCAUCGAGUCGAAAUGGUUGUGUGGUAGCAGUCGUUUCGACGAUGAUCAUCAGUUUACUCAUGAUCAGCCACAUGAGCCUUGAGACGAUCAUGAGUCCGUCCCCUUCAUUGCUUGUUUACUUCGAUCUGAGGGCUGAUGAGAGGCAGACAAACUGUGAUGCAGAGCACAGCCCCAACUCAGACUCGUUCUUGAGCCCAAGUAAUUAUUUGGGAAGGGAUAGAUUCUCUCGUGAUUUUGGCUGCUGGAAGCUGUCUGAAGUGACAGUUCGUUGGACUAACAACAACAACAACAACGUCUCUCUCAUUGGAUUCUCCUUUUCGUGUUGUCAGCGUCCGACACCGAUUGAUAUCUAAACACUUGUCUUCCUUGUUGUUCUUAGCGGUUUGUUUCUACUCAACUGUGCACUCCACAGGGCAAGGAUGGCAGUUCUCGACCAGACCUGCAAUAUUCCUGCCUAAUUAUGUCUCUUUCCUCUCCCAACUCUUUCCACCAUUGAUUGCAAUGUUAGCGCAGCAUCCUUCCUUUUGCUUCUUACCUGUGUUUAAGCAAGAAGGAAAAGCUUCUGUUCUGUUUGAUCAUGGAAAUCUUUCCGAGGUAAAUGUUCUCUCUGUCAGUGACCAGGGUCCAGGAGAUGCCCACCUUCAUCCCUGUAUCUUGAACUUCCUCCUGACAUCUAAGCGUAUGAUUAGUACGGUGAGACGUAUCAGCAAUGUUUUGCACAUGGAAACAUGAAGGCCGAGCAUGCUAAUUAAAGAGAAAGGGUGAUUUAAAUGACACAACAUCUCUUAGUACUCUGAUUCAUGGUGGAACAAACAAUCCAUUUAGACCAAACCAUACGAGAGACAUACACCGUUCAAGAACGGACAUGAGAACCAUCGUGACUCGGUUGGGCAGGCAGGCAGGCAGCGUUAUCGACCUUGAAGCUAAACUUGCUUGUUCCCCUUGAUGGAUAGCCCGAAAUGGAUCUCGGGGAAGUGUGCCCACUGCAAGUUGACAGAAAGCUGCAUGAAUCACAAUCGUUGAAGAUGUAGAACAGUUAUGGCUAAGGAACUUGAAGACACCGAUGCCUGGUCUCACGAUGUGGAAGAGCUCGUUGCAUCAAGAGAUAAAAGGCUAUCUACCACGAACUGGUCCUGUCUUUCCAGUCAUCCUCUAUUUGACAAUGUAGGUGAAAUUUUGGAGACCAACCAUCAAGAUUAAUCAAGACCUAAAUAGCAAGCAAGUCGGUAUGCUACGCACUCGAGGAAUAGAUCCUUCCUCAACUACAAUCCUCUGAUCAAUAUGCGUUAGCGAUCCGGGCACCGUGUAUUCAUGUCCUAUAUUUGCAAUAGUUCACCGAAUGAAUCAUUGUAGAUUGUGAGAUUAGCUCUGCAGCUUCAUUCAUUCACAUAUCGCCUUGAUGAUUCAACCAUGUCGUCUUCGGUCAAUGCCUACCGGAAAUAUGGAUUCUACUGAUUUGUUCGAGGAUGGAUGAGUAUUCAGCGUGCAAAAACAGGAGGAAGAGGAAGCAUUGCGGUGAUGGUGAUGGCUGAGUGGAGGCAGCGGAUCGAGGAGGGCUUUAAUCCUGGAAACGUAAAGUGGGCAACUAUGAUGGAGGAGAAGGAAAGAUGAUGAUGGAAGCGGAGGCGAUGGUGGAGUAGAUCGUGAUGGAGGAGGUGGAGGAUGAGAUCGAACGGGGCGAGACACGAGGCAGAUGGGAUCAAAGUGAUGGCAAUGAAGAAGAUGAAGAGAGGUCGAAUGGAUGACAAAGUCGAAGUGACCCAUCCAUUAAAGCCUUGUUGGUCGGAAAACAUACUCUGAUCGUUGAUUCCUUCAAGCCCAAGUGCUCAGCUCGCAGCUUCCAUUCUGCACUCUCUCUGAUAUAAUCCUCUCAUGUCUGAUAAGCAACACUUUGCAGCAAAUUUAAAGUGAAAAUGGCUGUAAAUUUAAGCUAAGGGUUUAUCUUAUCAUUUUCAUUUAGAGGACCAAUUCGUCUAGCAUAUAUCUUUACUUUCUGCUAAUUAAAUCUUCAUCAUUUGUGGCUUAAUUCUCAGCAACACUAGUAAUGCUUACAUUUUUUGCUGCCGUGCUGAAAGCUUCCUUGUGGCUAAUGUUGGGAUUUUUCGCCUUCAGCCGCUGAAUCUCCUCCCUGCGUAAGAAAAGUUCUCGAUAUCACUGAUGAUAGCAAUACGUAAUCCAACUUUAUUUAGGUCGAGGAACUUACUUGAUGAAUCUGUUAUAGGCAGAAGGAGCACGUCGCUUCUCGGUGGACGCUUCCAGGAAGAUGAAAAGAAUCAGACACGAAUGGUUGUUUCAAGAAUCAGACAUGAAGAAGAAGAAGAAGAAUUGAAUUUAUGAACUUUUGCGUGUGUAUGCAUAGAAUGUGGUGUCGCAGAAAGGCUUACGAUGGAUCAGCUGCAUUUGUUGUUGAACGAAAUCCAUCGAGCUCAUCACUGAUAGGCUGGUGCGGGUGGAAGAAGAUCCGGAAUCCAUGUGAAGGUGUUGAGAUCCAAGGUUAUGACUCUGCACUUUGUUUUCAGUGAAUUAAGAGUAAAAAAUAAAAAGUUCAUCAUCACCAUAUACAUAUGGGAGAUGUUAUCUUUGUGCUGACAUUUGAGAUGAAAUAAUUCUUGGGUGCUACUUGAUGAGAAGAGAAAACAUUGUUCAUGUCCAAGGAGCAUCACAGAUGAAUUGUCUAGACUGCAGGUUUUCUUGAUGAGAAGAGAAAAACAUUGUUCAUGUCCAUUGUUCAUGUCCAUGGAGAUCAAUCCAUUUUCUCCAAGUGUUUGCAUAUCUAUCCCUAUUUCAAUUGAUGUUGAGCUAUAAACAGUUAAAUCUUGCAACAAGUAAUCAUCUCAAGCUUUCGAUGAACCGAUUGCAGUCGAAACACAAUAUGUCAUCAGUGAAUCUUCAUUGAUCCAACAUUUGCCGCACGUCAUGAGUUUUUCUAGCAUUCCUUCCUUUAUCAGCGUCGAAAAAAAGGCUAAAUCACAAAGAUCUAUAAACAUAAUAAGCAAAAAAAAAGUUGCAUUUGCAUACACUAAAUAAUUAACGUAUGCAAUUCUGCACAGAUCUAUAAACAAGUAAAUAAGAACAAAUUGUGGGUGCAAAAGAACACGAAGUACUGUGCAAAUCAUGAAGAAAUCAUAAGCCAAAGUAGGGGUGUGUUAACCUGAAGAUUCUGAAGUGGGAGUUUUCCAAGCAAGGCUUCAAGAUUCACAUACAGGAUAUUAGCACAAAGGCCACAUCUUACCGUGACAAUGUUGAAUGAGUUGUCGUGAGGGACAUUAACCUGAAGUAAGAAGAGAAGGAAUACAUGAGAUGAACAAUAAGCACACUUUUCUCUUUGGCUUUGGGACAACGAAGAGAGAGAGAGUGUGUGUGUGUGUGUCAAGUACUAGAUUUGUAGUCACCGAGGAGGUCAUUGGUUUGCACUAAUUAUGUUACAUUCGUGCAUUACUUUUCUCUGAACAAAAUGCACAAGACACGAGAUAGCAAUCGGUACUCGGUGCUGGUUCUGAAGAACACUCGCUGUAAGAAAUGAAGAGAGAAGCAGAAGAAAAGAGAGAACUAGGGUUUCGGAUCCAGCUUCUCCUUGGAGUCGUGACAAAGCCAGCCCAAGCAACCAUGCUAGUUUUGGGAGCUUUGCAGCGAACUAGGGUUUCAGAUGGCUUAGAGAUUUAGGAUCAAAGAAUCUGAUGAAGAAGAGUGUCAAGUUUCAUGGCUAAAUGAUGGGCUCAAUUGGUUUCAUGCUUACUGCAACAGCUCCCAGGGUGAAGGACAUGUAACAUGCGCAUGCAUGGAGUCACCUGCACUAUGAGAUCUCGCAGAAGAGCUCUUCUCAGAGAUUAGGGUGUAGAAAGGUUUGGCUGCACCGGAGACCCCACAUGUUCAUGUCGAAUAUAUUCCUUCUGGCAGGGCUCAAAAAGGACAAGAACAAACUCUUGAUCGUUUAUACCCUAAAACUUGGGUCCUCAGAUCAUGAUGACCAUCCUGAAAGUUUACUGCAUCUGGUUGUAAUUUAGUCGAUAAAUCUCCCUUAAAGAUGAAGCAAAGUUGAUACAUACAUAAUAGACAUACACUGAUAUCUCUCAUCUCAGUAGAGCUGCUUUGGGUAGGUAAUAUGAUGAUGGGUGAGAAGGUAAAGAAAAGCGAAGAGAGCGAGAGGGAGGGAGGCUGUGCAGAAUAUACCACUAGAACAGUGUUGCAGAAGCUGCAACCGACGUAGCAAACUUGAUCGGGCAAGACAUGGCCGGACGACAUCUCCGAUGACAGAGGGAAUUGAGAAGUCGGGGAUAUGUAGGCUAAGGGUGGAAGAGAGAUGAUGGAAAGAGCGGAAGAGAGAAGAGGAUGAGAAGUAGAACAGAUAAGAGCGAUGGCAUCAUAUUAAUUGCAAGAUGGAAGUCACGGGUAAAGGAGGGGGGGAUGAAUAAAAGGGAGGAGGAGUUGUACGGGAACGUAAGCCCAGCCAAACAUUUCUCAGGUUGAAUGGGAUGUGCCAUGGGAAUGUGGAAAACAAGGUAGAAGAAGUACAAUCAAUGUAAUGAUUGACUGAAAUGAGUGAAUGGGAGUGUGUUCUUCUCUCUCUCUCUCUCUCUCUCUCUCUCUUAGUUUUAACAUUUCAGAAGAUUAAUCUUGACUUUACUAUAUUAUUUUACCACAUUUAUUUUCUGAAUUAUUUUUUGAACGGUGGAUGAAAAAGUUGUCACAGAUCGUGAGUCCUACGAAAAGAUUGGAUACAUAUAUUAAUACAACAAUAUCUGAAAAUUGAAAAACCCUUAAUUAUAUGUAAUAGUUUUUCCGAAGAUAAUUUUACAUUUCUCAUUUGAUGCUCAUAUUUCUUUAAUAACCUAAAUGUUUCUCGCUUUCGUCGUAUCACGAAAGCCUCCUUCUCUUUGCGAUGCCUAUUGUUUUCUUGCUUUUGUCUUGCUAUAGAUGUCUCAAUAAAAGAAAGUCAGAAUAGAUGAGAAGAAACAAAAAUUCAGAAUAUAAAUAGGAAAGAAAAGAAGAAAAGAAAAUCAAAGCACGAAGAAGAGAGAAGAAAAGAAAAUAGGGCGAAGAUGACAAAACAAAGAUGAUGACAUUUAGGGUAUUAGAGCGAAAAGAGGCACCAAACAAGAAAACGAAAGGAUCACCCAUAAUUUUUUUUUAUAAAAGAUUAUAUAUGACACCAACACCUUCAAUAACAAAAAUUAAAAGUUCUUUAAGGAUUUGUAGAAACUCUUUCUAGGAGUAUUAUGCUCAAAAAAGAAACAGAACAUGCUAUAAGAUGGAACAUGGGAUGGGAUGAAAAGUAAUCCAUUUAGAGGAGGAGAAUUGGAUUCAAUGUCUGAGACUUCAUAAGCAGUACACCCUCAGCAUGAGAAUGAGAAUGCACCCAAGUCGAGGAAACGAAGAAGAAAGGAGAUAGAAAUCAACAAUGACCUUGUAUCGUUCACACGAAUACGCUUCAACCCAUGAGAUGUCGUAUCAGAUUGGAGGGUUUGGCUCCACAAGCUUGUCGCAAUCAUUGAGAAAAAUAGGUGCAGCAGUUCACUGACCUUGUUCUUUACGCUUCAAAUCAAUAACCAUUUUGCUUCCUUCUCCGGAUCAAUUAAUUGUUGGGUUGACAUUGUUCCUAUGCAUGAAGAACAUAAUAAUUAUUCACAGUCAGAAGAAGAAAAAAAAUUGAAAAAAAAGAAAAGUUCGCUUAAUUAAUUUGUUGUAAUCUAUCACUAGUAAGUAAGUUGCACCUGAAUCAUCUUAAACCACUUUAUGCUACUAAAAAUCAGAAUAGACAAAAUUUAUUUGGCGUACCUUGCAGUCUCUGGACGCACUUCAACAUAACUCCAGUACGGUAUAGUUGGCAGUGAGGAGUGCGAGAUUCCAAUGCUGGAAAGCUACUUUCUUGUUCUUUAAUAAGAAGACUCUACAAUGACAUGACCUCAGAGAUGGUACACGUUAGAUUGCGGACACAGUUCUUGUCCCUUUCUCGAAGAUAGUGCCGAGAUGAAGCUAACCUUUUAUCUCAUCUCCUGGUUUCUUCUCUGCUGCUUCAUGCCACUGGGAGAUAUUACUGCAAUUAAAACCAAAAUUAAAAUUAAUAAUAAUAAUUCCUUCCAUUCAAACACUCAACCACUACAAUGUCUGUCUCAUUACCGAGAGAAUCGGGUGAGCACAAACUCCAACAUGUGUUGCUGUGGAUGGGGCAGAGACAAACUGAGGGACAGCAGAAUCAUCAUGCCACUUUGUAUCUUCGUUUUUCUAGCCUUACUGGGACUUCAGGUGUUCCCACGAAAGAGAGAGCUCAAUGCACCAUCUGAUUUCGAGGAAUCCGAUGCCUUGUUUGGCCUCAAGAAGAAAGGGCGAUGUGUGUUGCAGCAACCGAUGGAUGGGUACAUUGGGCGUGGAACCAUCACUGUCGGAGUAGAUAUCUGAGUAAAAGGACAUGCUACGAACACAGACACAGGAGGGUGACGAAGACAACUAGAGUCAUACAAUGCAAUGUAAAUAUUAUCCCUGAAUUCAACCAUCAAGAUUAAUUUUCCAGAGACCACUACGAAUAACGAGUGUGCACCAGCUUCAUUUAUUCGAUGCUUUAACAGAGAAAAACCGAUUACAAACAUAAUCCAAAAGCAUGGCAAGAGCUCACUAUUUCAUGGCCGCGGAAGGAUUCGGCGUUCCAGGCUUGGAGUUACUGUCCGAGACCCAGAGCACUGGAGCAGGAAAUCAAGUGCCUACCAAAAUACUCCCCCCGUUAGUACAAUUGAACCAAAAUUGCAGCAAUUUAAAUAAGCAUGCCUCAUUAUUGGAAUGAUAGCUAUUAUUACUUCAGCAGGCCAAAGCCCUUAAAACAUUACUAACAUUAGAUAUCUUCCUUUUCUUUUUCAUGAGCACAAGAAUCUAGCUUUACAUUGAUACGAUCAAAUCCAAACAGAAUUUGCCAAAAGCCUGAACACACUGGCAUCUUUGAAACCAUAUUUAAGGGAAUCAAAUCAGGAAUAACCAAAACUCCAUUUGAUAUGCAUCAGGAAAAGUACAAAAUGAGCCUUCCCCUGAAAUAUGUGGGAUGAAGGAUAUUUUUCUCAAACUGGCGGUCAAUGAUGGCAGCAAUAUGUGCACUUCGAAUUACUUGCAAACCACAUGACGCUUUACAGAAUAUUGCUGCCCUUCAUAUCAUAUAUCUUGCUAUUGAGGCUUUACCAGUCCCUUUCUCCAAGCAUGCUCCUUCAGCUUCCCUGAUGAUGGACCUGAGUAGGCAUGCCAACAAAAGACAUGCUUCUUGUGUGGGAUAUGCCUCGUCUGGUUUCACAAUGUCCAUUCUCCAGAGCAGCCAACUCAAGGCCAGUAAAAUUACGCAAAUAUAGCUUAGGCAUCUGAGCUGCUGGUUUGGACCCUCUGGUAGAAGAGCACAUAUGCAGCAGAUGACUUUAUGAUGUCCUCAGAUAUAGGAAGAACAUGCUGAUCAUCAAAAUCGUACCAACACCUCUCACCUUCAUGCUACAGAAGAAACUCAGUAUCAACAAAAUUAUUAAAUUUGCAUCUUUAAUGUUUAAAACGAAAGUAGAUUUUUUUUUAGAUGCAAUGAGAUCUGGGAAGUUCUCACACAAGACUGCAGAAAACCAAAUAUAAUGAAAUUGAAAAGUCAUAGGUGCUUAUCCACACAAGUGAUGUGUUUCAACUUUUUUGUUAUUUUGACAAAAACAGACAACAUAUUGUUCAAUGUGAAAUGCACAUUUUCAUCUUGUCUCUCAUCUAUUUUUCUACAUAAUAUUUCUUGAUCAAUUGUCAAACAAUGUUUCGUUUCAGUAAAUGUCAUCACAGCAUUAAAUCAAACACAAGAACUUUAACUGCAAAGAGAAUAAACAUGUAACUUACAUAAAUAUAUGCAGUGUAGUGACCACCUCCCAUGUUGCCAUAGUGGUUGCUGACUGCAUAUAAUCGAUAAACGGAUGACCCUCUGGACUUGCAGGCAAUAUAGCUUGAUAAAUCCAGGUCACAGAUUGGGAAGUCUACAAACAUCUCCAGCUUGUUAUUAAUGAACCUACUAUAUGAAAAUCUCUUUAGAUGAAUAAUGAGAACCUCUGGCAGCCUCCAAAGGUCCAACUUCUUACAAGCUUGCUGAUGUUUUUUGCAACUUGGACAAUACCUGCAAUGAAGUGGUCAAAUACCAUGGAUUUAUCUACCAGAAUAAAAAGAUAAAUUCUAGAACUAUGAUGAUGUUCAAAAUUUUCAGAUAUCAUGUACCUUAGCAAGUUCCACUCCAAACAACUUAAGAUUGACAUGCCAUCAGUCUUUUUUUUUUCUUCAUUAAUUCGUGUAACAUGUAUUUAUAUCCAAUGAGUUGCAAGACACUGAUAACCAUGCCUAAUUUUGAACAUAUAAAUUAUUCUCUCCCUGACUUUAGAAACUACAGCCUACUUCAACUUAGUUGUGACCGAACAAACUUCAAGGGUUUUUUAGCAGUCAUAUACUGAUAUAUUAAGCAUUUCUUAAGAUCUUUGCUCGAUGCAGAAGAUCUACUGGUAAGUUCUACCUACUUGAUAUGGAGUGAUUUGCAAAAAAAAAAAAGAUACUGAGAAAUAUACUGACCACAUAUCUUCUGGUCCGAGUGGUUCCUCCUUCAGAAAUGCUUCAAGACACGAAUAGAGGGAGACAGACUCCUGAGGCCGCUUAGCAAAAAGUCCAAACUUAUAAACCUCAGUUAAGGUAUUCAGAAGGUCUAUAUCAUACUGUCCCAUUGUUUUCUCAUGCCAACAGACAAGCACAUACAGCUUUCGCUGAUAACCUGUGAGGGAAAUUGAAUCAUCCAUUUCUAUCUUUGAAAGCAUCGCCUGACAGUUCUCAUCCGUGAGAUAAAACUGAAAUCCAUCAUGGAAGUAUUUUCCUUCUUCUGUCCUUUCAAAAUCCAGGAGAUGGGAGUCCUCGUCUAUCUUAGCAAUCUCAUUAAUAGAAUUACUGCUAUCUUGCUCAAUGUCGAAAGAAGAUUCUUUUGGAAUGAGAAAUGGAUUAAGGAGCUUCAAGAACAGGUCAACGAUAGUGGAUCCUGUGCUAGCAUUUGGUAGCCUAGCGAUAAGGGGGACGCCAAAUGACUUCCAACGUUUAUCUGUCGAGCUAUUGAAAUAUUGCCUGGAAAAGAAGUUUAUCACAAAACAGCAAUAAAAAUUAUUAUCCUAAAGUAAGUCUAUAAUAGUUAGAGAGAAUGAAUGGCAAUACAACAACCAAGAAGGCAGAAUUCAACAUGACCACACAUUUAACUGGACACAGCUUAAAGAACUACACAGAGAAUAAAGCAUGCCGAAGACCUAAAGUGCCAUACAGUAUCAGAUACACCAAAACGUGUGUAUUGACUGUGCAAUUUGAAGGGAUGCAUGAUUGUUGGCAUAUAAACCAUUUCCCAUGCUCCUUGCAGCAUAAAAUUGACAUUAGUCAAAUUACCUGUGCUGUCUUAAGAUUGUUGUUACAACAAAAGAACUGAUGUAGUACAACCAGCACUACUUGCCUCAUAACAGCCUUACUGGCCAUUCUAGCUCAGUAAUCCAGUGAAGUGAUAACUUAUGUGUCAAUUAAAUAUCUCAUAAGCUAAGCCCAAUCAAAAAAAAAAAAAUCUCAUAAUCAGCAAUGAAUUUGAAGUUUAAGCAACAACUAGAUCCAAACAAUAAAUCCAAUGUUUUGGACAUGUUCCAUAGGCAUCAGAUUAUUAAAAGACCUGGGACUUCACCAAUAUGAAGAAUUUAGACUGAUAUUCAACUUCAGGGUUACGGAAAUUGAAGUAAUGAAAGUGGCUUUUCACCAUCAUUAAAAAUUGUGAUACGUCAAUCUUACUCAUCCAUGCUUUGAUGCAUAAACACAAUCAGUGGAAGAUCUUCAGGAUCUUUUGAAAGCCUGUAUGCUGCAAGCUGAUCUCCAUCUCUAAUCAAGGAAAGUGAAUCAGAAGGGUCCUCAAGGAAUCGAAUAACUUGAUUGCAGAAAACCUGCAAAAUGUUUCUAUUGGCAGAUAAGUCAAACAGAAAUAUCAGAUAACUCUUAGCCAAGGCAUCAUUUCUGUUGCCAAAGCAGUAGAGUCAGUAAAAUGUUAAAUAACAUACCUCAGCAACUAACAAGCUCUCAUCAUGCUUCAGUGAACAAGCAAUGCUUAAAGCUUGAACUAAAUCCUUGCAGUUACCGGAUUUUGGCACAUUUACAGUAUAUGAAGAUGGCCUGCUGAGACCAUCAGUACUGAAGACGGUAACAGUCAUUGUCCGCACUGUUGUAGACGGAAGGGGCAAAGAUAAAUACAUGAAUGGGUCAAAUGUAACUGAUGAUUUAUUGCAAACUGGACAUACCAAAGUUGAUCUGUACUGACCCUGUAAAACAUCAACCAUUCCAAAUGUAAUAAAAGUAACUGAAAGAAAGCAUAAUGAUGAUGCAAGACAGUCCAAAUGCCUUACAUGAACAUAUAGUGAUCUAAAUCAUGCAACCUAAUUAUGCUUAAGUUUCACAAAACAUUUUCAUAGUUCAUACAGAAAAAUAAACAGGCAGCAAAAUUCAACUUAUUUAAAUGUUCUCCUCCUUAGUUUAUAACAUCAACCAUUCUCCUACAUUUCUUCCAUGCAGCUUACAUACCUCCUUCCUGGACACAAACCUUCCUCACAUUUAUUCAUAAAUUAAAAACCCUCCCUAUGUAAAUAACUUCCGCCCUAUAUCACUCCCAAAUGUCAAUUAUAGAAUCCUAGCCAAGGUCUUAACAAACAGAUUGAAACCUCUCCUUCAGAAAUUAAUUAGUCCUGAGCAGUCUUUCCUCCGUGGUAAAAAUAUUCAUGAUAAUAUUUUGAUUGCUCAAGAAGCUGCUCACACUAUGCAUUCCUCUGAAGGCAAGAACCCUCUUAUUCUUGUUAAAUUAGAUCUUGAAAAAACUUUCGACAGAUUAUCUUGGACUGCUAUUAUCAAUGUCCUUUCUUCCAUGAAUUUCCCUUCUUUAUUUAUCAAAUGGAUAACAGCUUGUAUUUCUUCACCCACAUUCUCGUCUUAUAAAUGGUGAAAUUUCUGAGACUUUUAUCAGUCAUUGUGGGGUCAGACAAGGUGAUCCAUUGUCACCUUAUAUAUACAUUUUAGUUGCUCAGAUUCUAACUCAGCUGUUAAAUCAAGCAACUAGAAACCGAAGUCUUACUCCCCUUAGUUUCAAUUAUGAUUGUAAAAUAAUUCAUAUUAUGUUUGUUGGUGACAUUUUACUCUGUUUUAGGGCUAAUCCUAAGUCUUGCACUACUAUUAAACGAGUCAUCAAAAUUUAUGAGGAAAUGACCAAUCAAAAAAUCAGUCAUUCUAAAUCUGCGAUUUAUUUUCCUAAAUCUACUCCAAGAUCCACUUAAAACCAGAUCUGUUCUAACCUUGGAUUUAAAGAAGGUUCAUUUCCUUUUAAGCAUAUAGGUGCAACUAUUGCUCCUAGAAGAAUUCCUCAAUCGACUCAUGUGGAAACUCUUAAUAAAAUCAAAGCUAAACUUGCAAUUUGGAAAUGUAAUCAUCUUUCACAAGCUGGCAGAUUGGUCUUAGUUAAAUCUGUUUCGACUUCUAUUCCUUUACACACUCUCAGUGUUACUUGGCUGCAAGAUAGUUUCCUCCAUAAGAUUCAAACACUAAUAAAUAAUCUUCUUUGGCAAAAUAAUCCUCAAACCAAAGGCCUCCAUCUUAUUAAUUGGAACACUGUCACCUCACAUAAAGACCAAGGUGGUCUUAACAUUCAGGACAUCACUUUUUUCAGAAUUACUUUACAAGCUACCAGAAUCCAGCGAUAUCUUAAUGACGAUGGUAGCUUAUGGAGUACUAUUCUUUACACUAAAUAUGGUAAUGUACACCUUUGGAACAUUCCUAAAUAUCAUCAAUCCAGUUGGAGUUUGAAACAGUUCACCCGAGCCAUGAAUGACCUUAAAGAAUUUUUUUUAUACAAAUAGGUAAUGAACAUUCUACAUGUUUUCUUACAUGUCCUUGGCAUUUUAAUAUACCUUUGAAUUGUAUUCCUACUUAACUCAAUAUUAUACUAAGAUUAAUGUGCUAAUCCAAUCUAAUAGCUGGAAUACCCAGUUGCUAUUGGAUAUGUGCACACCUAAUUUAAUUUCUGUCAUUAAGGCUAUAGAGAUUGCUCAGUUCCCUUGUGAGGAUAAAUGAAUUCGAAAGGAUCAUCAAUUAGGGAAAGCAACAGCAACAAGUGCAUAUCAUUUCUUGCACCCCAAACCUGAAUCAUGCUGGUAUGGUUGGCUCAGUCUUUGGCAGCUCCCAGUUAUUACUAGAGUUCAUACUUUUUGCUGGAAACUAUUGCAUCGACGUUUACGUAUUACUUACUGUUUUCUUCAUUUGCAUUUUAUUGUUCAAUAUUUGUUUGUUCCCUUUGCCUUUCUCACCCAAAAACCAUUGAUCAUCUAUUUUUUCAAUGCCAUUUUUCCACCAGAAUUUGGAAUUUUUGGGAAACAAACCUCAAACUCUCAUUCCAAUAUAAACCUACCUGGAACAUUGGUGAAUGAUUAAAGGAAGGCACUAUUCUAGGAAUGGGAAAGCUGCAAUAGCAAACCAGCCUUGGUUCAUUUGGAAUUUGUGGAAUGAUGCACACUUUAACAGGAAAAAGACUUACAUUAUGUGAGCCAGGGCUCAAGCUUUGGCUCAUUCUAUCUAUUAUGCUAGAAGCACUUUAUCUGAAGGGAAGAGACUGACUAACUCUAUAAGUUUCAAAUGGCAAAAACCAAAUGCAGGUUGGCAGAAGCUCAACACUAACGGUGCGUCCCUUUUGCAGGAUGGGGGCAUGGGGUUCAUCAUCAGAAAUCAUCUUGGAGACUGCCAGGCAGAAGGACAACAAUAUAUUCAAGGCAAAUCUGAUGACCAUGCAAUUAAAAUAGGUCUUAAGGUAGCAAUUUCCAGAAAAAUUACUCAUCUAACACUUGAAAGUGACUCUUCUUCCAUUGUCGAUCGGCUGAACAAAGAUAAAACUGUUCCUUAGGUUAUUACUCACACCAUCAAUGAUAUUAAAUAACUGCUGCAUCAGCUAACACUCAUACACCAUUAGCCACUGUUUUUGGGAAUGCAAACAAGCAGCAGAAUGGGCCGCUAAAUGUGCUAGAGUUAAUAAAAUCCGUUGUCUAUGGACUGAUUCAUUGUCUCUUCCACUGGAGCUCUCCUCCAUUCUGUAUAAAGACCUUCAUGGGUCUUAUUGUAGAACUAUGACAAGUUCAUAAAUUUUCGUUUUAUUGCCAAAGAAAAGCUAUUGGUUGUAUGGUAGAAUUGAGGAGAAAAGAUGUUCAGUUUUUCAGAAUCAUCAAGCAUGAUAUGUAAAGAAUUUUAAAUCACCAAAAUAAUGGAUACUAACAUGACAAAGGUCCACUAUAAUGGAGUCAUUACGAGCAAAAUGAUUACUCCAGUACUCAUCUGCUACUUCUUCAUCCGGACGUCCAGAUGCAUCCUUAAUUUCAAAAUAAGGUUUGUUUUUUAUACGGUUCAGAUCUUCGUGAAGCCCAUCUAACAGAAAGGCUAGAAGUUCCUGCAGAGAAACCAUGGAAGUCAACAAAUGAAUUAUCCCUUUCCAAUCAGUUCCAAUUUUUGGAAUAAAAGUUAGAGACUAAUUCUAGCACACACAUAACAGAUGAAAAACAUUACUCACUUGACAAUCAUGUUGGCUAAAUCCAUAGAAUUGUGGGGCAAAAGAAGCAAGCUUUGCUUUGAAAACAUGUGGAGCAAUCGGUGUGUUUUCUGGAGCCCACAGCUUCCUCAGCAGUUGUCCAAAUGCUGAAGCAAGCUCACCCUGGAAAAUGAGAGGCAAUACUUGUGACUCUCAAACAAAUGCUCUUUUAAUGCUGAAAAUGUGAAAGAAAAUAGAAAAAUAUUUUAAAAUAGAAAUAGAAAAAAGUGAGGAUUUUUCAGUUUCUUGUUCAUACAUAAAAUACGAGUGAAAAACAAUAGGUACAUAAUUUUUAUUCAAAAUCAACACCUUUUUGAGGAAAUAUAAUUGGAUGGUCAGAAGUUUCAGUACAGAAUUAGUAUUAGAUUUUCUUAUCUAAUGCAUCCUUGUAUGUGUAUAACCUCAUAUGGAUGCCCUGAACAAGUGUAUGAGGCCUCAAAAUGAAGUAUUAUUAUAUAUGUGAAAUCUGUUGCACAUAUGUGAUCUGCAUAAGUAUGAUAUGAUCACAUAUGUAGUUAACUACUCUGUAUUUUCUUCUUAUAAGUAUUACUUCAAGCAAAACAAGUUUCGUGAUUCUAUUAUCUAUGGUACAUUACUAUGAUACAUUUCAUAGACCUUCCUUCAUUUCUUAUUAGCAAUCAUAUAUGCUAUGUUGCCCUGCAUAUGCACCAUGUGAUAUCUUCACCCACAUAUUAUACAAUCACUUCCAAGACAUUUACCCUUCUCCCUUUUCUUGAAGAACCAAACAGGAGAAAAGAAUAUCCAUCCCUAUCAUACUUUUAUUUCUUUUCAUUUACUUGUGAACCAAAACAGUCCUAACUGGUUUUUGGACUAUAUACAUAAUAUCCUACUUGCACCAAGGCCAACAACUUCAUAAGAAAGGAUAUUUUUUUCACAAGCUCAUGAAGAUACUCAAAUAUUAAAAGAAAAUAGCCAUCAGAGUGUCAACCUACAUGCAGCCCUAGUGGGUUGUGAUGAUUUAUUUCUUUACUGUAGUCUCCAAGGAAAUAGCGAACAAGCUUUGGUGUGUGAGCUAAGCACUGGAUAGCACUGUUCAUAAAGCAUGUAUUCCCAAGAUUGUCCAAUCCUGUCAGACCUGUAGAAUUUGAUCUGAUGGAGCUUCCACUUAACUGAACAUCAAAGUCCAUACUUUCUAGGCUUCCAUUGCUCAUAAAUAAAACACCAUGAGAAGAUCCUAUCAUCUUUGAAUUUUGAACAGUUGGCCUAUCCUUUUUGCUUUCAUGAUUAUGAGCCACAGAUCCCGAUGAGGCAUAUAUUUGAAUCUCUAGAAGAAUCUGCAACAGAGCAAGAGGAAAGAUAUUAAGAAAUAUUUUCGUGGGAAUAAUUUUGACAUUUUGUGCAUAUUAUAUAAGAUUGCUUACCACAUGCUAUUAGAUAUUUAUUUAUACUGUGAUAUACAAAAAAUACCAUCUACUUGUUGUGGUAACCAUUAAUUAUAUAUCAUGUCAAAUCAUCAGGAGAAAAGCACCUUAGUUUAAGCCUUAAAGGUAAACCCCAUGUACACAUGACAAAAGUGUAAUUGACUAAAAGCUAAUAACUCCAGAGAACAUGCAUUUUUCAUCUGUCAUUAUAACACAUAAUCGAAACAUUUCAUGAAUAAAUAAGCACAUUUUUGUCCACCUUGAAUCACGUUUAUAAUUUUGGCAUAACUACUUUUCACAAAUGAUGACACCCUAUUAGUCCACAUAUUUGUCAAGCACUGAAGUGAUUUUUUUUUUGUUGUUGUAUAAAGAGCAGAUUGACCAGUAUGGUAGUAAUAGCUAAGAAUAAGUAGAUUUACCAGUUAAGACAUUUUUCAUUGAGUGACUUCACAUAUUACAUUACAGUUCUACUAAGAAGUCUUAACUACUUUUGGCAUAACUACUUUUCACAAAUGAUGACACCCUAAUCCCUAUUACUCCACAUAUUUGUAUAACACUGAAGUGAUUUUUUUUUGUUGCACAAAGAGCAGAUUGACCAAUAUGGUAGUAAUAGAUAAGAAUAAGUAGAUUCAUUUUUAACUGAGUGACUUCACAUAUUACAUUACAGUUCUACUAAGAAGUCGAUUUGGGCAUCAACAAUUUAUCAUCCCCAAAAAUUUGCUGUUAUAGACACAAAAAAAGUUGUUUCCUUUUAAUUUGCACUACACACAAAUUUAGAGGUUGCCCAGAAAUGAAGUUGUGUCUGGCCUUUGACAUGUUUGAAGCAAAUGGAGAACUACUUAGAGCAGUUUCUUGACUUCUUGUUUUAGGCAAAAAAGAUGAGCAUUAAAUAGUAAGUUAAGAAGUUAACACAAACUAGUAUAUAACCAACAGGAUUUCUAUGUAAAAGUAUGUUACAAGUGCAUAAAUACAGUUUGUCGAGAAACUCUCCAUUUUUAAAACUGAAGCAGAAAAACAUGUCCUACUUACCUCAUUUUCUAAUUGGUGUCGUCCAUCCUGAAGCAUCCCAUUCCACCCAUUCAUUAUGAUAAAAUUUAUUUGUCCAGAAAAAUCCCAAAUAUAGACCUAGUCCAGACAGAAGUUGAAGUGAACAAGGCAACUAUACGCGAUUACAAGAUUUUCUACUGGCAGAGUGCUAUCAGUAACUUACCACUUCAGAAUCAACAGGGAACAGCUUGCACGCCGUGUUGUAAUUCUCAUUAUUGUUGUCCUGAAUGACAAAUAUGUAUUAGAGCUUGCACAAAUUAGAUCAGUUACCUAUACAAUAAAAAACCAGCAAUAAGUAUCUUUCCAACUAUAGAGACCAAACUAGAUGUAAUCAUCCUGGAAUAAAGCUAAGACCUCAAUUAGUACAAGGGCCAUUAUGCUUUAAUUAUUUUCACCAAGUACAUUUCCUUUCUCUCUGUCGGUAUCUCUAGUUUUAAAGGUCUUCCUUGGAACAUAUAAAAAGCAACAUAUCUAAAUCAAUUGCUCAAAAUCUUUUAGGUCUAACUAACCCACUUGAAUAGUUUAGUCAUAGCAUCCCUUCUUCCAAUUUGAGGACUAAUAAUCAACAGAUUAGCUGAUGAAUCAACAUUGGUAAAGUAAUGUAUUCAAGCAAACUAGAAUUCUUUUAUAACAAGAAAAGGAUGGAAACAGUAAUGCAUAAAGAGGUCAAUAGAGCAUAAAAAUGUCACUGAAAGGCAUGGAAAAAAAUACAGAUUAUCGAUUAGCAACUUUUUUAAACUUCAUUUUAGUGUUUAGCACUAGUAACAUUACUCCGGCCUUGGACAAGCAACGCAUGUUGCUUUUAGGUCUAGCGAUACAAUGAAGGAUAUUGCUUGUUGAUAAUGACGAUGAUGAGUGUAUAAGACAUGUAGUAAAACGUUAAAAACAAAUGUCUCUCGUUCGCAUGUCUUGAUACUUUCGUUUUUGACAAAAUAAGACCUCACAUUUCUGUCUCUCUAGUCUUUCACCUCAGUGAUCUUAUUUUGUGAAACAAAUGGUGAUAGGUGCAGAGAGCUGCAAUAUUUUAUCUGAUAAGCAUCACACAGGACCAGACAUUUUGCAGUUGUGUUACCAGAAAUCUUGAAAUUCUUAGAUAUAUUGGGCAACAUUUCUUGCCAAAUUUGGAAAUCUAACAAAGACCAUUUUUAUCAGAAACAGAGUUCUCUCGGCGUAAAACUAGUUUCAUCUACAAACAAUUGAAAUGUUGCCAUACACAAACAUGGCAGGAUGGUCAAGAAAAAAUGGGGAUAUCAAGACAGACCUUCGUGCAGAUCUUUACAGUCAAAACAUUUGUUCCCUGGACAGCAGAAAUCCUGAGCAUCACAGGAUAGACAUCAUCUGCAGCAUCUUCUGACAAGGACGAGGUUCCACUGUUCUCCAUUUUCGAGCUGGGUUCAUUGUGCCUAGAGAGGAAACACGGGGGAUGGAGAGUAAGAGGCAAAGCCCGAAACAACAUAAUACGCCUAGAUCAACUUUAUCUAAUCUACCCCAACAACUCGUAGCCCUUUUUGUUCCGCCUUUAACAGCGUAAAGAAACGAUAACGACACAUCAACGAUCGUUGAGGAGGAAGGAAAUUAGGGAAAUCAAAUGAAGCAGCACCGCAUUCGAUCGAGCAUCAAGAAAAGACACAGGAUACCCUGCUUCCGUUCAAACCGAGCCUUGCAAUCUCACCAUCGGAUGGCCAACGACCACAUAUCGCCCCGGAUCAAAGCGUAGCAGCGGCCGGAACCCCCCUCGCCCUCCGCAACACCCCGGUUCAACUCGCCGUCGUCGCGACGCUGAAGGUCGAAGACGAGAUCGGAUCCAACGGAGGCGGCCGAGGAAGACGCGGCGGGCGCCGCUGCGUACGGGGUCCCCUCCGCCCCGUCGGCCGAUUCCCGAUCGGACGCUCGCGCCGCCCUCCACCAUCUGACGAGAAGCAAAUCGAGAGUGAGCGAUCGAAGCCACGGAAGGGGAAGGGAGGAAGGUACCCACGGAGGGGGGGGACUCACCGGUAAGGGACGAGGUAGACCGUGCCGUCCAUUGGCUACCAGGGGCAGAAGGAAGCGGUUUAGGGCGACGAAGAAGAGGCGAAGGGGGAUCGAAGUUGAAAGAUGAGGAUGAGAUAUGGAGUCAAAGAGAUGACACGAGGAGUGGAUUGCGAGCUUUGGAAGGGUACGGCGCCGGCGGUGCCGACCGAGCGAUGUAGUGGAGAGAAUGAAACAAAGAAACGGAAAUAAUUGCGAUAAAAGUUGGCUGCCACCAUUUGAUUAGUCGAUUUCACUGAACAUGUGAUAAUAAUUUUUAGUUGUGAAAAAUAUAUUUAUUUAUUUAUUUCUUGCGCGAUUUUCAUGUAAAAAAUCUUUUCUUUUUUUUUAAUCCGCCAAUCGAGCGUAAAGGGAAAUGAAAGAAGAGGGGACGAAAGCAAUAUAAAGCAACGAAGGAUAUUAAAAGAAAACGAUACUAAAUGAAAAAAAUAAUAAAAAUAAAAACUGAAGUUAGUUAUUUUUUAAAGAAAAAAAAAGAGUUUCUUUAAAGAAAAAUCAUUUUUUUUAUUUUUUUUUUAUAAAAAGAUGGGAGAGUAAAAGAGGCAAUAAAUGAGGAGUGAAUGGUUGGUUUCCGUUAACUGCUUGCUGCCAACCUUGAGCUGCUGCUGCAUUGUGUGUGUGGGAAAGCUUCGCUUUUCGUAGCUUGGAAAUGAUUUGAUAUCAUAAACAAGGAUGGAUGUUGAUCUUUGUCCUGAUGUAAUUUUCUUUCUCUUACUUAAAUUUGUUUAGAAUAAAAAAUGAACCCCCAAAACCAGGCAUUGAAAUGCAUGCAAAUACGAAAGAUGAAUGUGUAAGAUUACUUGGAUUGAAAAUAAAUUGGAAAAAUAUAUCGCUACAUACGCCAUUCAAUAAUGGGAAAUGACAAAUAUGAAUUCGGAUUGUAAUAUCAUGUCGGAUAUCUAAUGCACAUAUAUUUCGAUUAGUAGUAUAACCAAAAAAAGGGGGGGUGGGAGGGGAAACAAAUGAUCCCAAACAUGAAAUGUAAUGUAUGAAUCGACAAACUUGCUUCAAGAUCCAAAACCAUGAGAUUCGAACCCAUAAUGUCUGACCAGGUCAAAUCUUAGAACAGCCCAAGCACACCAAUGUUUUUGUAUUCAAUAUACGAGAAUCCAAUCUGGUUCGGUAAACCCAAUGCUGAAAUCAAAGUUGAAGCAUGUCAACUGCUUGUCCUCCUCUCCAAGGAUCUUCAUGAUCAGUGUGUAUGAACCCUGUGAUGUGGAAGAAGAUAAAAAGAAGGAAACAUGUUGUGUUGGUUGAUCCUUCUGAAUCCAUGUGUCACAAAACAAGUAACAGCGACAAAGAUUAAAGAUCAGAAAUAGGUAGGUAGGUAGGUUGACUUACUGGUGGAGUGAAUGAUGGGAGCGUCUGUUGAUGGGAUAGCCGGAAGUCACCGGUGGAAACUGGGCAAGACGUCUCUUUGCAGAGGUCAAGCGUCUCCUGGUGGAUGUGCAUGCCAAAAUACUUGACAUCGAUCACCAGUUUCCCUUUGUUUAUGUCACCCCCUGCAUCACAAUCUCAAAGCCUCGAUCAUGCCACUGCUGCAUUAGAGAGGAGCCUUUAUCUCAUAGAUCAUGUCUUUUUGUAUCUCAUCACCACGAGAACAGCACAGGAGAACGAGUAAAAACCAGUGUCGAGCUUACCAGUGAUUGCUGAUAUCUUGAAGGUAGCAGGUUGGCCUCGCUCAAUCGGGUUGGGAUUUAUCUCGACCCCCUUGACCGUCACCUGGUAGCUGGCUUUCUUGUCUGUAAAAUUAUUUGAGAGAUCACAAUCUAUCUCAAUUUAAGAGGAAUUCCUGAAAUAUGUCAUCCGAUCACACGGAACCAAACAGAUUCGUGAGCGUAGAUGAGGAAAUCUUUCUUCUUCUUCUCCCAAAAGAAAGAAAGGAGUAAUCGAUUUGGAAACAGUUUAAAUGGUGUAAGAAAGAAAGUGAGGCGAAGGCGAUCACCGCAAUACUCGAUCUGGUUGGUGUGGACGGGACAGGCAAGGAGAAGGCACGUAGCCGCCGUUACGACGCAGAAGAGAAGGAAGAACGACAUGAUGUUCGCGGUGCAGUUGUGUUCGAGAACGUAAGAGAUAUGAAGGUGACGACGAGAAGAGUAGUGUUCUUGUGGGGAACGAGGUCGUGAUGGAAUGGAAUCCUUCUUUAGCUUUGCUUGUAAUAGGCAAAAAGGUUUGCUACUGCCAACGUAGCCUCACAACAAAAGAAAUCCCAGCCAAAGAUUUGCUGUCCUUUCUCCACCUCCUCAGAUCUCUGUCGUGGUAGAUUGAGCUUUGCGUUUAUGAAUGGGAGUACACAAAACAAAGAUAUUAGUACGAUGGUGGGUCUUCUUCCAGAUUUUAUUGCCAUGGGAAGAGGGCAUACUACUUUGUGGGAUAAGAGGCUCUCGUGGCGAUCCCACAUAAGCCUUCGGAGUCCAAGACAUCACGGCUCAUCCUGAUGUAGCCGUCUUCUCCCCAACCUGCACCCCAUGAAUUCUUCACGAUCCAGAACAUGUCCUUAUCCGUGGUUCCAUAUCCGACCGCCAACACGCCAUGGUUGAGACUCGACCCACAGGGGCCGUCGAAGAUGCCAUGCGAGUAGAACUGGAAGCCGAAUCCGCCGGCGUCUAUUGCCACCGACACCGGCUGCUUCGCCACGGCCUCCAACAGGCUGUGCUCGCUCCUGGCGGUCACGGCUUUGUAGCCGGAAAUGGUGGAGACAUGGUCGUGGAGUUGGUUGCCUCUGCACUCUUCCUGGAAGCCUUUGUAAGGGUACUUGGACUCGGAAGUCAACCCAUGGUUGCUUCGGACGAACUCGAAGGCAUUUUGCAUGAACCCUCCACUGCAACCAUGGUUUUUCCCGUUGAUGUCACAGUCCACCAGCUCUUGCUCCGACAGCGGAAUCAGUUUGCCGGUCUUGAUGUAGGUGAUUCCCUCGAUCGCUGCCACCGCGGAGAAGGCCCAACAAGACCCUGCUCGCAUCAAGAACACCAUAAACACGAACAUCGACGAGUUCUACAGACGAGUUGUUGCAUAUCCUGAUGCUUACCGCAUUGACCUUGGUUCCUAACACCGGUGACGGCUCCCUUUUUCCUCCAAUCCAGGUGCUCGGGGACGUGACUUUUCAUGCUAUGCGAACUGUUCGACGAUAUGUCCACCGUUUCCACCUGAGACGACAGGUAGCCGGAGUUGAUUGCGGCAAAAUCCACAGCAUGACUUGUAUGCCGGUGAUGCAGUCGAUCACCUUUACAGGAGGAGGAGUAGUAGUCUGUGGGUCGUCGGUCAAGCACAUAUGCUUGGCUCUGAAUUCCUCGUUCGUCAUGUCCGCGAACCUGUUGUCAGUGAGCUUGUAGCCAUGGUCCUCGGCGUUGAACUUGCUGAUCUUUAGGAAGUUGGAUUGGUAGAUCUUGAAGCGCUGCUCCUUCUCCUUCUUGUCCUUGUAGGUGAGGCCAUGUCGAGCGAUCCAACCCUCGUACCGAUCUCUCACCGCGUCCCGGGAGACGGUGGAAGGUGGGCAGAGCGCGAAGAAGAGCGACAAGGCCAAGAAGCUGUUGAGGAGCUUGCCGUCGCCCAUGGCUGGCUCUGCGUUCACGUAAUGCUCUUGCGUCGAUCUGAUGAUAAAGCAAGCAUUCCUGGGGAAGCACAAAGUUCUCGUGGUCUGGGAGGUGAUUCCGCUCGCAGUUCAUGCAUCCGCAUAGCGAUGGAGCGUCGUGCGUCUCUCCCUCACCCAACCGCAACGGAUUGGCACAUUCAUUGCACGACAAAGAAAGAGGUGAUCUCUCUCUCCUCAGCACUCAUACAAGUAAUUGCUGCUGCAAUUACUGCAGCAUUGUGAUGGUGGCAUCUCUCCGCAUUGGAAGGCGAUCCUUAUAUUAUCUCUUUGUUCUUACGGUAACACAUCAAAUUAGACUUUUUAUCUCGGAAGAAGUAAGUCAAGACUUUGAUUGAUGAUUGGUAUAAUAACAAAAUUCACGAGUCAUAUCUAGUCCGAGAUGUAUUGAUUUAAUCUCACAACUUAAACAAGUCAUAUAUCCCUAAUUAGAUACAAUGAUAGAAGAAGUCAAUACAAUGACUUGGGUUAGGCUGAUGAUAAGGUUAGAUGUAAUCACCUCUAAUUUUAUGGUUUUCACUAAAAAUAUUAUUAUUAUUAUUAUUAUUAUUAUGUACCUCUUACUUAAUCAGUAUACAUUUAUUAAAAAUUUUAUUUCAACUGUUAAUACAUAUCUUCUACAUUUGACAUCUAAAGCACAACUUCAUUAAUCAAAAAAUAAAAACUUACAUUAUUAGAAAUCCUCUCACAUCUCUUUUCAUUUCAAUCUAUUUGCAGGUAGAUUCUCCUUUUUUUUCCUUUAAAUAAAUGAAAUAUAUUAUCAAUGUUUAAAAAAUAAUAAUAUCUCCUAAAAUUUUGAUUUUUGACGUAAAAGAAAAAGAAAAAAGAAAUAAAUUGUGAUGCAUGCUUUAGAUUCAAUUAGUUGUUUGAAUUUCAUAUCAUGAUAUGAAAAAUUAUACAAUGGUUUGCAUGAAUUUAGAUUAAUAAUUAACACUAAAUUAAUUGUUUGAAUCAUAUGACAUAAAAUUUGUAAACCCUAUUUAGUAAUUUUUCAGAAUGAUCAUAAUGUGGAUCAUUGAUUAGGGUCGAUAAUUAUUUUGAAUCAUGACAUUAAAAAAAAAAAUGGCCCCACCUUCAAUUGCCUAAUUGACAUGAGAGUGAUUUGGAGGGUGAGGUGACGUCCAGAGAAGUUUACCAUUUGCCCACAGAGAGGAUGAAGCUAUGGGAGCCUCCAAACCAAAUCUUAAAUCCAUGCACGUUAUCCCACUUCGCAAAGUCCAUCAACAGACCUUAUAAAUAGAUUUGAGUACGAUAAAGAUAUAAUUAAGAUGAUAAGAAGAGAUGGGAUGGGCAGCUUUAUAUAUAUAUAUAUAUAUAUAUAUAUAUAUAGUUCAUGCUUCAGCCCGUUGUUUCUUGGUCCUAAAGCGAGUCAGUCCUAUUCUGUGUGCAGUGCACCCCCUGGAUCACCGAUACCGUCCAACUCCUACCUGAUCUUAUCCUUGCAUCUUCACCUGUGCGUCCGUGGCUCGCUGCGAUAUAUAGUCUGCUUGCGCCACCGGCCACAAAGUAUUGGAGAAGCGAAAGAGAGAGUCAGAGAGAGAGAGAGAGAGCCAUGUCGAGCCUUGUCGACAUCUGGACGUUCGAGUUUGCGAAGCUGAGGGAGAAGAAGGCUGGAGGCGGUGCUACGACAGCAGACCCUCGUCGUCCGUGGCUAAGACGAGAGGAGCAGGAGGAUGUUGCCGGAGACAAGGGAGCGAUCAAGAGCGUGGCCUUCUCGGAAGCCACCGUUUGGAUGCUCAUGAACCGGUUCGCACCCUGCUGAGCAUGCGCAGGCUCUUCAACCGUGUGUAAUAGCAGCGUGGAUUUAGGAUCGUAGUUAGGGGUAUAUGUCAUUGCAUACGGAAAGAUGUGGAUUUGGAAUGCUAAUAAAUUAGAGAGCUAAUUGGAAUCUGGAGUUCGUGCAGUAUAAGAUCGUUAGAUGGGCAUAUUGCUGUGUCGAUUCUUUGAGGUUGCACAGAAGAGGAGCUGCAACACAAACUCCUUCCAAGUCUAACACGACGAUUAAGCCACUUGAAGAACCAGAAACAUACACCUCACCUGACAAAAACAUGAUCGUCGGAAGUUCCGCUGCCGAUAUAAGCUUUUGGUUGGCUCUAUAUAUCACAAUAAUAAAAGAGAGAAGGAUAAUUCUGUGGGUGCCUGCAAUGAUCUUAUCAGUGGAAAAUGACCCCACCGUACCAGAGAGACAUCAGCACCUGCAGCAUCUCAAACUGAUCUUGUCAUCACACACAGGUCAACAUAGAAGACACUUCCGUGACGUGAUUACAGUUUUGGCCAUGACUUGCGCAUGCCAAUCUUGGC
RNAcentral lists this long non-coding RNA (24614 nucleotides) under Musa acuminata (dwarf banana). RNAcentral's name for it is "long non-coding RNA (MACU_LNC001338)". The record is from RNAcentral. Lineage: Eukaryota; Viridiplantae; Streptophyta; Magnoliopsida; Zingiberales; Musaceae.